Molecule: ribosomal RNA, 492 nt
Filed under: uncultured bacterium
Lineage: Bacteria
Description: partial 16S ribosomal RNA
Rfam family: Bacterial small subunit ribosomal RNA
Source: RNAcentral
AGUGAACGCUGGCGGUAGGCCUAACACAUGCAAGUCGAACGGCAGCACAGUAAGAGCUUGCUCUUACGGGUGGCGAGUGGCGGACGGGUGAGGAAUACAUCGGAAUCUACUUUUUCGUGGGGAAUAACGUAGGGUAACUUACGCUAAUACCGCAUACGACCUACGGGUGAAAGCAGGGGAUCUUCGGACCUUGCGCGAUUGAAUGAGCCGAUGUCGGAUUAGCUAGUUGGCGGGGUAAAGGCCCACCAAGGCGACGAUCCGUAGCUGGUCUGAGAGGAUGAUCAGCCACACUGGAACUGAGACACGGUCCAGACUCCUACGGGAGGCAGCAGUGGGGAAUAUUGGACAAUGGGCGCAAGCCUGAUCCAGCCAUACCGCGUGGGUGAAGAAGGCCUUCGGGUUGUAAAGCCCUUUUGUUGGGAAAGAAAAGCAGCAGGUUAAUACCCCGCUGUUCUGACGGUACCCAAAGAAUAAGCACCGGCUAACUUCGUG